UGAGCCAAGGAUGACUUGCCA
Molecule: microRNA, 21 nt
Filed under: Prunus persica (peach)
Lineage: Eukaryota; Viridiplantae; Streptophyta; Magnoliopsida; Rosales; Rosaceae
Description: ppe-miR169e-5p
Gene: ppe-miR169e-5p
Source: miRBase by way of RNAcentral